This 440-nucleotide ribosomal RNA is filed under the name uncultured bacterium. RNAcentral describes it as "bacterial SSU rRNA". It matches the Rfam family "Bacterial small subunit ribosomal RNA", at positions 338 to 795 of the family's 1533-position model. The record is from RNAcentral.
CCUACGGGGGGCAGCAGUAGGGAAUCUUGCGCAAUGGGCGAAAGCCUGACGCAGCCAUGCCGCGUGAAUGAUGAAGGUCUUAGGAUUGUAAAAUUCUUUCACCGGGGAAGAUAAUGACGGUACCCGGAGAAGAAGCCCCGGCUAACUUCGUGCCAGCAGCCGCGGUAAUACGAAGGGGGCUAGCGUUGCUCGGAAUUACUGGGCGUAAAGGGCGCGUAGGCGGAUAGUUUAGUCAGAGGUGAAAGCCCAGGGCUCAACCUUGGAACUGCCUUUGAUACUGGCUAUCUUGAGUUCGGGAGAGGUGAGUGGAAUGCCGAGUGUAGAGGUGAAAUUCGUAGAUAUUCGGCGGAACACCAGUGGCGAAGGCGACUCACUGGCCCGAUACUGACGCUGAGGCGCGAAAGCGUGGGGAGCAAACAGGAUUAGAUACCCCAGUAGUC